Molecule: ribosomal RNA, 460 nt
Filed under: uncultured bacterium
Lineage: Bacteria
Description: partial 16S ribosomal RNA
Rfam family: Bacterial small subunit ribosomal RNA
Source: RNAcentral
CCUACGGGGGGCAGCAGUGAGGAAUAUUGGUCAAUGGACGAGAGUCUGAACCAGCCAAGUAGCGUGAAGGAUGACUGCCCUAUGGGUUGUAAACUUCUUUUAUAUGGGAAUAAAACGUUCCACGUGUGGGAUUUUGUAUGUACCAUAUGAAUAAGGAUCGGCUAACUCCGUGCCAGCAGCCGCGGUAAUACGGAGGAUCCGAGCGUUAUCCGGAUUUAUUGGGGUUAAAGGGAGCGUAGGUGGAUUGUUAAGUCAGUUGUGAAAGUUUGCGGCUCAACCGGAAAAUUGCAGUUGAAACUGGCAGUCUUGAGUACAGGAGAGGUGGGCGGAAUUCGUGGUGUAGCGGUGAAAUGCUUAGAUAUCACGAAGAACUCCGAUUGCGAAGGCAGUUCACUGGACUGCAACUGACACUGAGGCUCGAAAGUGUGGGUAUCAAACAGGAUUAGAUACCCUAGUAGUC